Molecule: non-coding RNA, 119 nt
Organism: Gossypium arboreum
Lineage: Eukaryota; Viridiplantae; Streptophyta; Magnoliopsida; Malvales; Malvaceae
Source: Rfam
GGGUGCGAUCAUACCAGCACUAAUGCACCGGAUCCCAUCAGAACUCUGCAGUUAAGCGUGCUUGGGCGAGAGUAGUACUAGGAUGGGUGCCCUCCUGGGAAGUCCUCGUGUUGCACCCC